CGUAGGAGGCAAGCGUUGUCCGGAAUCACUGGGUGUAAAGGGUGCGCAGGCGGGAAGGUAAGUCAAUGGUGAAAUCUCACAGCUCAACUGUGAAACUGCCAUUGAUACUGCUUUUCUUGAGUUUGGGAGAGGGUGGUGGAAUUCUUGGUGUAGCGGUGAAAUGCGUAGAUAUCAAGAAGAACACCAGUGGCGAAGGCGGCCACCUGGCCCAUAACUGACGCUCAUGCACGAAAGCGUGGGGAUCAAACAGGAUUAGAUACCCUGGUAGUCCACGCCCUAAACGAUGAGAACUUGAUGUUGGUCCCGCAAGGGAUCAGUGUCGGAGAUAACUCGUUAAGUUCUCCACCUGGGAAGUACGCUCGCAAGGGUG
RNAcentral lists this ribosomal RNA (370 nucleotides) under uncultured organism. Its description in RNAcentral is "bacterial SSU rRNA". It matches the Rfam family "Bacterial small subunit ribosomal RNA", at positions 526 to 896 of the family's 1533-position model. The record is from RNAcentral.